Molecule: ribosomal RNA, 253 nt
Filed under: uncultured bacterium
Lineage: Bacteria
Description: partial 16S ribosomal RNA
Rfam family: Bacterial small subunit ribosomal RNA
Source: RNAcentral
UACGGAGGGAGCGAGCGUUAAUCGGAAUCACUGGGCGUAAAGCGCAAGUAGGCGGCUUCGUAAGUCAGAUGUGAAAGCCCCGGGCUUAACCUGGGAACUGCAUUUGAUACUGCCGAGCUCGAGUCUGAUAGAGGGGGGUGGAAUUCCAGGUGUAGCGGUGAAAUGCGUAGAUAUCUGGAGGAACAACAGUGGCGACGGCGGACCCCUGGAUCAAGACUGACGCUGAGGUGCGAAAGCGUGGGGAGCAAACAUG